GAUGAACGCUAGCGACAGGCUUAACACAUGCAAGUCGAGGGGUAACAGGGUAGCAAUACCGCUGACGACCGGCGCACGGGUGAGUAACGCGUAUGCAACCUGCCUAUAACUGGGGAAUAGCUCCCUGAAAGGGGAAUUAACACCGCAUAAUACUAUUGAUUCGCAUGGAUUAGUAGUUAAAUGUAGCGAUACAGGUUAUAGAUGGGCAUGCGUGACAUUAGCUAGUUGGUGAGGUAACGGCUCACCAAGGCUACGAUGUCUAGGGGUUCUGAGAGGAAGGUCCCCCACACUGGUACUGAGACACGGACCAGACUCCUACGGGAGGCAGCAGUGAGGAAUAUUGGUCAAUGGGCGCAAGCCUGAACCAGCCAUGUCGCGUGCAGGAAGACUGCCCUAUGGGUUGUAAACUGCUUUUAUAGUAGAAGAAACACAUCUACGCGUAGAUGUCUGCCAGUAUACUAUGAAUAAGCAUCGG
Molecule: ribosomal RNA, 475 nt
Filed under: uncultured bacterium
Lineage: Bacteria
Description: bacterial SSU rRNA
Rfam family: Bacterial small subunit ribosomal RNA
Source: RNAcentral